AUAACGAUACCGGACUCAUCCGAGGCCCGGUAAUCGGAAUGAGUACACUUUAAAACCUUUAACGAGGAUCCAUUGGAGGGCAAGUCUUGUGCCAGCAGCCGCGGUAAUUCCAGCUCCAA
Molecule: ribosomal RNA, 119 nt
Filed under: Tigriopus californicus
Lineage: Eukaryota; Metazoa; Arthropoda; Copepoda; Harpacticoida; Harpacticidae
Description: eukaryotic small subunit ribosomal RNA
Rfam family: Eukaryotic small subunit ribosomal RNA
Source: RNAcentral